RNAcentral lists this ribosomal RNA (62 nucleotides) under Yanshouia hominis. RNAcentral describes it as "Oscillospiraceae bacterium BX1 partial 23S ribosomal RNA". The record is from RNAcentral. Lineage: Bacteria; Bacillati; Bacillota; Clostridia; Eubacteriales; Oscillospiraceae.
CAGAGUGUAAGCGCCGCGAGGCGUUAAGCUAGCGAGUACUAAUCGGUCGAGGGCUUGACCUU